RNAcentral lists this ribosomal RNA (440 nucleotides) under uncultured bacterium. RNAcentral describes it as "partial 16S ribosomal RNA". It matches the Rfam family "Bacterial small subunit ribosomal RNA", at positions 338 to 795 of the family's 1533-position model. The record is from RNAcentral.
CCUACGGGGGGCAGCAGUGGGGAAUAUUGGACAAUGGGGGAAACCCUGAUCCAGCGACGCCGCGUGAGUGAAGAAGUAUUUCGGUACGUAAAGCUCUAUCAGCAGGAAAGAAAAUGACGGUACCUGACUAAGAAGCCCCGGCUAACUACGUGCCAGCAGCCGCGGUAAUACGUAGGGGGCAAGCGUUAUCCGGAUUUACUGGGUGUAAAGGGAGCGUAGACGGCAGCGCAAGUCUGGAGUGAAAUGGCGGGGCCCAACCCCGGAACUGCUCUGGAAACUGUGGAGCUGGGGUGCAGGGGAGGUAAGCGGAAUUCCUGGUGUAGCGGUGAAAGGCGUAGAUAGCAGGAGGAACACCGGCGGCGAAGGCGGCUUACUGGACUGUAACUGACGUUGAGGCUCGAAGGCGUGGGGAGCAAACAGGAUUAGAUACCCCGGUAGUC